RNAcentral lists this ribosomal RNA (253 nucleotides) under uncultured bacterium. RNAcentral's name for it is "partial 16S ribosomal RNA". It matches the Rfam family "Bacterial small subunit ribosomal RNA", at positions 524 to 776 of the family's 1533-position model. The record is from RNAcentral.
UACGUAGGGUGCAAGCGUUAAUCGGAAUUACUGGGCGUAAAGCGCACGUAGGCGGCUUGGUAUGUCGGGUGUGAAAUCCCCGGGCUCAACCUGGGAACUGCAUCCGAAACUGCCUUGCUCGAGUAUGGGAGAGGGAAGUGGAAUUUCCGGUGUAGCGGUGAAAUGCGUAGAUAUCGGAAGGAACAUCAGUGGCGAAGGCGACUUCCUGGACCAAUACUGACGCUCAGGUGCGAAAGCGUGGGGAGCAAACAGG